GUUCCUUAUAUUUUAUUCGAUACCUUUUUAAUAUUAUCCAGUAUGUGUGCUUAUCAACAACCCCAUUUCUGCUUCGCUCCACCCCCCAUCAUCCACAUUGUUCGUGGACAGCGCUGGUCGUGCUGAUAGCACAGUGGCUGGUAAACACAGCCAGUCACAACAUACCUGUACAUCUCCCUUAUUGCUAUAUCCCAUGGUUCCCAUUUUAAACACAGAAAAUAUAUAUUGAUGUCCAUUGAUCAAUAGCAAAGCAGUCAAAAAUACUGUCCUCUGCAGAGAUGUGUCUGUGUGAGAGCUGUGGGACUGUCACUGCGGUUACAAAACAGAACAAAGCCAUCUGAUAGAGAGUGAUGUACCGUAGCGCGUCAUGUCCCACUCCUGCACAUUACCAAAAUCAAAGAGAUUAUACAUUGCAAACAAUGUUUCUUUUAAAAACCAUAAUGAUGAUAUGAAUCUGUACAUACACACAGUUUGGUGAACAUUGCUUAUCUUUAUCAUGGUGAUGAUGACGUCACUUAAGAAUCUAAAAUAAAUACAGAAAUAUAAAUAGGUUCUAUGGAAAUAUAUAAAUCUGUAUACGUAAAUAUACAUUGACAUAUGAUCCUAAGUAUCAUCAGAGUAUGUGAGAUAUACAUAAUUCAGCAAAACGAAAGCUACAGUAAGAGAGAGAAGCAGGUUGGUUCUGAGCCCUCACCUCCACUCCAUGUACUGUAUGCCCUUUCCCCCCUAAGCCAGUGAGGAGGACUGGAGGGUCUUGCUCCAAAGCAGCCUUGUUUGACUAACACCCAUGGCGCCUCUGUGUUGCUAGGUGAUGUGGUUCUGAAUUGCACACUCAUGCGCUCCCCCAUCCUUGAUUUGACGCACUCACAUGCUACACUCUCACUAAACUGGGCCAUAUCCGGGUUGCACCCUUAACACUGCUCUCAACAGCAUACUUCGGGAUAAAACUCACAUAAUUAUCAUGUUAUUCAUGUUAUUCUAUCUGACAGAAGUAGAGGGGAAAGAGGUCAGUUGCAUCAGGCCCUGCCAUAAACAGUAGUUUUAACCACAUGCCAUUUCUCUAUUUGAAAUAUGUUGCUACAUGUGUCCCUGCCUCAGAUGCCUGGGAUGGUUUGUUUGUUGAAGGUUAAGAAUGAAUCUGUGGUUCUAAAUGAGUUAUGAAGGCGUCUAGUAAACACAACCCCCCCCAGCCUCCGAAAUAGCAGGUUCAAUUCUGCUGCUGUUACAUCUAAUCCUCAAUCACUGCAGCUGAUUUCAUUUUAGUGUGCACCACUGGGUUCCCCCACCCACAUUCACGGCCCAGUAAUACAGCACAAUGGGAAGUGGGGAGGCAAAGAUUAGGUUCGGAAAUUGGGAGUGGCCCAAAUGGAAUCAAAAUGUGUUGUGUUACAGAGACCGCCAUGAAUUGGAAAUGCUGCUGGGUAUGCCAGGAGAAGCUUCUCAAAGUCUCCCAUAUAGACAGAGUCCAGGAUGAAGCAAUACAACAGCAGCACAGAAUCCCAUUCCCUCCAUUUCCUCCAGCUCUCCAGCCCUGGCUAGUGCUAUAGGACCAGAGCAUGCUAACACACUAAGGCCCUGGAGUGAUCUGGACAGAGGUGAACACAAUGACAUACAUCUGCAGGCAGAAGGAAGGAGAAUGAACUUCCACCCUGCCAUUCUACAGUAAACUUGUUUGUUCUGUUUUUACUGAAUUACAGAAAGACAACAUCCAAGGGUUAUAUCUGCCUACCCUGAAAUGAAUUCAGAAUGGAGGGGCUGUUUGUAUUUGGAUUGAGUAGUCUUUAGUUGCCAUGCUCUCACUGUCCUUGAUAUGCUUUCUCUGGCAUUCCACAACACAUCAACCUUCCCAUGUUGGAUGGAGGGUAAAAGGGAAAUGGAAUGGAAAUAACUCUACUGUAUAUUGAGUCAGUCUCUGAUAUGUAGAAUUCAAACACGGUUCACUGUUUUGUAGAAUUGAGUCUAUAGUCUACUAUAGAUGGUCUUUAUGGAUGAACUCUGAAAUCUCCAAGGACAUAAAGUUGGUAUGCCUCUGUUCCCCACAGACAUCCUUAAAGACAAUCUAUAGAAAUCUACAAAUAGAUUAGCAGUAAUUAAUCAAAGACACUGUCUAGAUUUGACAGUUCAUGCAGCUUUUGUAUUCUGAUCAUGGAGGUCUGAUCAGGGAGGUCUGAAAACCUCACACAUCUACACCUACAUUUAAAUGUGUCUACCGUGUCCACAUUGUGUCCGGAUUCCCUUUUCCUGUGCUAAUAUUCAAAUGCAGUAUGCAUUCUGCAAAUGGUGGAACAGGCUAAAUCUGAUAAUAACAAAACAAAUUGAUGGCAGUAGCCAACUACUGUAGCUAACUAGCCAGCUAAACUCUGCCAGCAAACUAGCUGGCCCCCCCCCCACCCAAAAAUAUAUAUUUUUUUAUAUUAGCUAGCUGGCUAGCAUUUAUGAAGCCAGCAAACACGUUCCUCACAUGCUAGGUAUGUACACUACCGGUCAAAAGUUUUAGAACACCUACUCAUUCCAGGGUUUUUCUUUAUUUGUACUAUUUAUACAAAGUAUAACAAUAGUGAAGACAUCAAAACUAUAAAAUGACACAUAUGGAAUCAUGUAGUAACCAAAAAAGUGUAAAACAAAUCAAAAUUUGUUUUAUACUUGAGAUUCUUCAAAUAGCCACCGUUUGCCUUGAUGAAGGCUUUGCACACUCUUGGCAUUCUCUCAACCAGCUUCACCUGGAAUGCUUUUACAACAGUCUUGAAGGAGUUCCCACAUAUGCUGAGCAUUUGUUGGUUGCUUUUCCUUCACUCUCCGGUCCAACUCAUCCCAAACCCUCUCAAUUUGGUUGAGGUCGGGGGAUUGUGGAGGCCAGGUCAUCUGAUGCAGCACUCCAUCACUCUCCUUCUUGGUAAAAUAGCCCUUACACAGUCUGGAGGCGUGUUGGGUCAUUGUCCUGUUGAAAAACAAAUGAUAGUCCCACUAAGUGCAAACCAGAUGGGAUGGUGUAUCGCUGCAGAACGCUAUGGUAGCCAUGCUGGGUAAGAGUGCCUGACAGACAGUGUCACCAGCAAAGCACCCCCACACCCCCAACACCUCCUCCUCCAUGAUUUACGGUGGGAAAUACACAUGCGGAGAUCAUCCAUUCGCCCACACUGCGUCUCACAAAGACACUGCGGUUGGAACCAGAAAUCUCACAUUUUGACUCCAGACCAAAGGACAAAUUUCCACCGAUCUAAUGUCCAUUGCUCGUGUUUCUUGGCCCAAGCAAGUCUCUUCUUCUUAUCGGGGUCCUUUAGUAGUGGUUUCUUUGCAGUAAUUCGACCAUGAAGGCCUGAUUCACACAGUCUCCUCUGAACAGUUGAUGUUGAGAUGUGUCUGUUACUUGAACUCCGUGAAGCAUUUAUUUGGGCUGCAAUUUCUGAGGCUGGUAAAGAACUUGAAGAAACUUUGAAGAAACUUAGAAAGUUCUUGAAAUUUUCCAUCUUGACUGACCUUCAUGUCUUAAAGUAAUGAUGGACUGCCGUUUGUCUUUGCUAAUUUGAUCUGCUCUUGCCAUUGUAUGGACUUGGUCUGUCAGCAAAUAGGGCAUCUUCUGUAUACCCCUCCCCCC
Long non-coding RNA from Oncorhynchus tshawytscha (Chinook salmon), 3595 nucleotides. The record is from Ensembl. Lineage: Eukaryota; Metazoa; Chordata; Actinopteri; Salmoniformes; Salmonidae.